GCUCCAAUAGCGUAUACUAAAGUUGUUGCAGUUAAAAAGCUCGUAGUUGGAUUUCUGGUCGUGGUAAUCGGUCCGCCUUAACGGGGUGUGUACCAGAUUCCUGCGUCCAUCCUCGAGGAGAACGUAUCUGGCAUUAAGUUGUCGGGUAUGAUAUCCUCGUCAUUUACUGUGAGCAAAAUAGAGUGUUCAAAGCAGGCUUA
RNAcentral lists this ribosomal RNA (200 nucleotides) under uncultured eukaryote. Its description in RNAcentral is "partial 18S ribosomal RNA". It matches the Rfam family "Eukaryotic small subunit ribosomal RNA", at positions 588 to 788 of the family's 1831-position model. The record is from RNAcentral.